Molecule: ribosomal RNA, 253 nt
Filed under: uncultured bacterium
Lineage: Bacteria
Description: partial 16S ribosomal RNA
Rfam family: Bacterial small subunit ribosomal RNA
Source: RNAcentral
UACGUAGGGUGCAAGCGUUGUCCGGAAUUAUUGGGCGUAAAGGGCUCGUAGGCGGUUUGUCACGUCGGGAGUGAAAACUCGGGGCUUAACCCCGAGCCUGCUUCCGAUACGGGCAGACUAGAGGUAUGCAGGGGAGAACGGAAUUCCGGGUGUAGCGGUGGAAUGCGUAGAGAUCCGGAAGAACACCAGAGGCGAAGGCGGCUCGCUGGGCUUGGUCUGACGCUGAGGCGCGAAAGCGUGGGGAGCGAACAGG